GCGAGCGUGGCGGAAUUGGCAGACGCGCUGGGUUUAGGUCCCAGUGACCACUGGUCGUGGGGGUUCGAGUCCCCCCGCUCGCACCA
RNAcentral lists this transfer RNA (86 nucleotides) under Acidimicrobiia bacterium. RNAcentral's name for it is "tRNA-Leu". It matches the Rfam family "tRNA". Rfam says of the family: Transfer RNA (tRNA) molecules are approximately 80 nucleotides in length. The record is from RNAcentral. Lineage: Bacteria; Bacillati; Actinomycetota; Acidimicrobiia.